Molecule: ribosomal RNA, 1372 nt
Filed under: uncultured bacterium
Lineage: Bacteria
Description: bacterial SSU rRNA
Rfam family: Bacterial small subunit ribosomal RNA
Source: RNAcentral
GAUGAACGCUGGCGGCGUGCCUAAUACAUGCAAGUCGAGCGAACGGACGAGAAGCUUGCUUCUCUGAUGUUAGCGGCGGACGGGUGAGUAACACGUGGAUAACCUACCUAUAAGACUGGGAUAACUUCGGGAAACCGGAGCUAAUACCGGAUAAUAUUUUGAACCGCAUGGUUCAAAAGUGAAAGACGGUCUUGCUGUCACUUAUAGAUGGAUCCGCGCUGCAUUAGCUAGUUGGUAAGGUAACGGCUUACCAAGGCAACGAUGCAUAGCCGACCUGAGAGGGUGAUCGGCCACACUGGAACUGAGACACGGUCCAGACUCCUACGGGAGGCAGCAGUAGGGAAUCUUCCGCAAUGGGCGAAAGCCUGACGGAGCAACGCCGCGUGAGUGAUGAAGGUCUUCGGAUCGUAAAACUCUGUUAUUAGGGAAGAACAUAUGUGUAAGUAACUGUGCACAUCUUGACGGUACCUAAUCAGAAAGCCACGGCUAACUACGUGCCAGCAGCCGCGGUAAUACGUAGGUGGCAAGCGUUAUCCGGAAUUAUUGGGCGUAAAGCGCGCGUAGGCGGUUUUUUAAGUCUGAUGUGAAAGCCCACGGCUCAACCGUGGAGGGUCAUUGGAAACUGGAAAACUUGAGUGCAGAAGAGGAAAGUGGAAUUCCAUGUGUAGCGGUGAAAUGCGCAGAGAUAUGGAGGAACACCAGUGGCGAAGGCGACUUUCUGGUCUGUAACUGACGCUGAUGUGCGAAAGCGUGGGGAUCAAACAGGAUUAGAUACCCUGGUAGUCCACGCCGUAAACGAUGAGUGCUAAGUGUUAGGGGGUUUCCGCCCCUUAGUGCUGCAGCUAACGCAUUAAGCACUCCGCCUGGGGAGUACGACCGCAAGGUUGAAACUCAAAGGAAUUGACGGGGACCCGCACAAGCGGUGGAGCAUGUGGUUUAAUUCGAAGCAACGCGAAGAACCUUACCAAAUCUUGACAUCCUUUGACAACUCUAGAGAUAGAGCCUUCCCCUUCGGGGGACAAAGUGACAGGUGGUGCAUGGUUGUCGUCAGCUCGUGUCGUGAGAUGUUGGGUUAAGUCCCGCAACGAGCGCAACCCUUAAGCUUAGUUGCCAUCAUUAAGUUGGGCACUCUAAGUUGACUGCCGGUGACAAACCGGAGGAAGGUGGGGAUGACAUCAAAUCAUCAUGCCCCUUAUGAUUUGGGCUACACACGUGCUACAAUGGACAAUACAAAGGGCAGCGAAACCGCGAGGUCAAGCAAAUCCCAUAAAGUUGUUCUCAGUUCGGAUUGUAGUCUGCAACUCGACUACAUGAAGCUGGAAUCGCUAGUAAUCGUAGAUCAGCAUGCUACGGUGAAUACGUUCCCGGGUCU